GCUUGUGUUUACUGGCGGUGCUGAUCCCUUCUGCCUCUGUGUGCGUUUGUCCCCGGGGCUGAAUGACAAAGAUAAAAUUCUCCUUUUCCAUCUGCGUGAAUAUCUUUGUGAUUGUCUCAGCUUUGCUUUCCACGAGGGGAUGCUGCAAAGGGCUGAACCAAAACGCAGACCUGUGCCUGCACGUUGAAACCAUCAGCGUCAGGAGAACAUCGCUGUAUGAAAUUCCUCAGCUCAGUCUGCAAGAGUCCAGAUGUGCUAAAGGCCUCGGUGCAACCAAGCAGCUGUGCUGCUACCCCACUUCUUCCACACGUGGACCAGAGGCCACUGCACUAAGCAGGCACUCAGCCCCCAACUUCUCCCCCUGGAGAUGCACAAACCCUGCAGCCCUGUGGCUACCUGGAGCCCAAGGAGCUUUGAGUCACUCACAUCUCAGCACUCUGAGGUUAUAAGGGCUGCUCAGUGGGAUGGGCAGAAGAAGCACACAGACCAGGAAGCGACUGCUGAAACCGCCGGUGAUUAAAAUGCAAUAAAAUGUUUUCCUUCUGCUGCCGAGCAAGGAGCGCGGCACGCGUUUUGCUGAGGAAGCAGAAGUGGUUGUGUUUGCUGAAUGAGCAGCUAAUGAAAAGCAUUUCAAGCAGGAAGCAACACUGAUGAAGAUUAGGAGCCUGCUUAAAUCUAGGAGAAUGAAAUGGCCCGGGCCGGAUUCUCCUGUUUUACACCUGAUUUGGCAUUGAUUUACUCCACUCUACACCAGUAGGAGUGGAAAGGAGUGGGAGCACCACUCGGUGCCAGAAGCUGCUCGGGAAUGUGUCUCUGUCAGCAGAACAGAUCCUUCCCGCAGCCCUGGACAGGGCAGAUCACAGCCGGGGGGAUAUCAGCCCUGUGGCCGCCGUUGUGCUGCCGCCAGUCCCAGAGUGGGAGUUUCCCAUUGCACCCAUUCCUCCUGGGAGCCCGGCUGUGCAGCUCAGCCCUGUGCUGGCAUCCACGUCCUCUUUAGGUGGGGAUUUGUAUCCUCUCCUCCUCCUGUUGCUGUUAUGAGCCAGACCGCAGCCAGACACGGGUCCCCGUUGUGCUGAGACACGCAGUACUCAGGAGCAGGAGGAUGGAUUCUGCUGGGGAAGGAAAUGGGAAGAGAGCUCAGGGGAUGCCUCCAACACGGAAGGCUCUUCUGCAGAUUUGCUUUCAGGCACAGAAGCCUCCAACCCGCUUCACCAGCGGAAGGAACAUCGCAGUGAGACUGGGCAGCCCUCACAUCACUGCCCCAGGGCAGGAUCCUGCGGGGAAUGGGGGUCAAGCAGGAAACCAGGACCACACAGGGACCCUGUGCAAACCCGUGCUGCUGGGGAGAUUCAGUCCAGACUUGGCUAGUGCUGCA
RNAcentral lists this long non-coding RNA (1375 nucleotides) under Gallus gallus (chicken). Lineage: Eukaryota; Metazoa; Chordata; Aves; Galliformes; Phasianidae. The record is from RNAcentral.